Molecule: ribosomal RNA, 265 nt
Filed under: uncultured archaeon
Lineage: Archaea
Description: partial 16S ribosomal RNA
Rfam family: Archaeal small subunit ribosomal RNA
Source: RNAcentral
AGUCACUGACAUUAGAUACCCGGGUAGUCCAGGGUGUAAACGCUGCAGACUUGGUGUUGGGAACCCUUCGGGGGUGCUCAGUGCCGGAGAGAAGUUGUUAAGUCUGCUACUUGGGGAGUACGUCCGCAAGGAUGAAACUUAAAGGAAUUGGCGGGGGAGCACCGCAACGGGAGGAGCGUGCGGUUUAAUUGGAUUCAACGCCGAAAAACUCACCAGCAGCGACUGUUACAUGAAAGUCAGGUUGAUGACCUUACUAGAUUUUCAG